GCGAAAGCAUUUGCCAAGAAUGUUUUCAUUGAUCAAGAACGAAGGAAGGGGGAUCGAAAACGAUUAGAUACCGUUGUAGUCUCUUCUGUAAACUAUGCCAAUUGGGGAUCGGUACAGGAUUUUUAAUGACUGUAUCGGCACCCGAAGAGAAAUCUUUAAAUGAGGUUCGGGGGGGAGUAUGGUCGCAAGGCUGAAACUUAAAGGAAUUGACGGAAGGGCACCACCAGGUGUGGAGCCUGCGGCUUAAUUUGACUCAACACGGGGAAACUCACCAGGUCCAGACACAAUAAGGAUUGACAGAUUGAUAGCUCUUUCUUGAUCUUGUGGUUGGUGGUGCAUGGCCGUUCUUAGUUGGUGGAGUGAUUUGUCUGGUUAAUUCCGAUAACGAACGAGACCUUAACCUGCUAAAUAGACCAGCCGGCUUUGGCUAGCUGCUGUCUUCUUAGAGGGACUAUCAGCGUUUAGCUGAUGGAAGUUUGAGGCGAAUAACAGGUCUGUGAUGCCCUAGAUGUUCUGGGCCGCACGCGCGCUACACUGACGGAGCCAACGAGUACUUUCCUUGUCCGGAAGGACUGGGUAAUCUUGUGAAACUUCGUCGUGCUGGGGAUAGAGCAUUGCAAUUAUUGCUCUUCAACGAGGAAUUCCUAGUAAGCGUGAGUCAUCAGCUCGCGUUGAUUACGUCCCUGCCCUUUGUACACACCGCCCGUCGCUACUACCGAUUGAAUGGCUUAGUGAGCCUUUGGGAUUGGCAGCUUGUACCGGCAACGGUAGCAGGCCGCUGAAAACUUAGGCAAACUUGGUCAUUUAGAGGAAGUAAAAGUCGUAACAAGGUUUCUGUAGGUGAACCUGCGGAAGGAUC
This 859-nucleotide ribosomal RNA is filed under the name Steginoporella truncata. RNAcentral's name for it is "SSU rRNA". It matches the Rfam family "Eukaryotic small subunit ribosomal RNA", at positions 945 to 1827 of the family's 1831-position model. Lineage: Eukaryota; Metazoa; Bryozoa; Gymnolaemata; Cheilostomatida; Steginoporellidae. The record is from RNAcentral.